UAGGGAAUCUUCGGCAAUGGAUGGAAGUCUGACCGAGCAACGCCGCGUGAGUGAAGAAGGUUUUCGGAUCGUAAAGCUCUGUUGUUAGAGAAGAACGUUGGUAGGAGUGGAAAAUCUACCAAGUGACGGUAACUAACCAGAAAGGGACGGCUAACUACGUGCCAGCAGCCGCGGUAAUACGUAGGUCCCGAGCGUUGUCCGGAUUUAUUGGGCGUAAAGCGAGCGCAGGCGGUUCUUUAAGUCUGAAGUUAAAGGCAGUGGCUUAACCAUUGUACGCUUUGGAAACUGGAGGACUUGAGUGCAGAAGGGGAGAGUGGAAUUCCAUGUGUAGCAGUGAAAUGCGUAGAUAUAUGGAGGAACACCGGUGGCGAAAGCGGCUCUCUGGUCUGUAACUGACGCUGAGGCUCGAAAGCGUGGGGAGCAAACAGG
RNAcentral lists this ribosomal RNA (429 nucleotides) under Bacillota bacterium. RNAcentral describes it as "Firmicutes bacterium partial 16S ribosomal RNA". It matches the Rfam family "Bacterial small subunit ribosomal RNA", at positions 355 to 776 of the family's 1533-position model. The record is from RNAcentral. Lineage: Bacteria; Bacillati; Bacillota.